GUCUUCCACUGCUGAAGCUUGGCGCUGUGCUUAGUACCAUGGCAAUGAUCUCAAACUGGAUGUCCCAAACUCUCCCAUCCUUGGUAGGACUGAACACCACGAGGCUAUCAACGCCAGACACCUUAGUCGACUUCAACAAAUACAAUAUUUCUGUGGUAACUUUAGGCGUGGAUAUUCCUUUAUGAACACUUUAAAGUUACAUCAAAGAAUAAAUGAGCUGUCUGAGAAAUUAGUUGUGAAAGGAAAUAUUAGGCUCAUUAAUACUUAGGAAUGGAAAAGCUUUAAUUUAUAUUAUUCUGAGGUUUUAAAGGAUUCUCAUUAAAAUCUGUUCUGUUCUUAUUAUUUUACUCUUCUUUUAACAUCUAUAAAAUCUCCAUAAUUUUUUCUACAGAGUAUGCUAUAGAGUACAUUCUAGCUACUCUAGUUUUCCUACAGCAGGUUCUUCCUUGGAAUUCAAUUCCUGUGACUAUUUGCAAUGCAGUCAGUCAGAGAAACCAACCUCUGUAAAACAUAAAUGAAUGAAAAACCCUUGGCAAUUUAAAGCCUGUAAAAAAAUCCUUUAAGAGAGCUAAGAAUCAGGAACAACAGAAAACUUACUUGAUAAAAUCAUUUCCCUGUACUGUUUAAUUUUUUUAUGAAGAAUUCUCCUGUCACAAGGCAAAUUCCUGUAGUCUCCAUUCACCUACAGUUAAUGGCUUUUUAACGCUUCCCACAUUAAAUAACAAAGUCUUCUCUCAUUGUUUGAAGCAUCGUUCAGUUAGCAAUACUUUCAAAUUUCAAAUAAAAAUGAAACGUACUGGUUUUUCGGAUAGAAGUUUACAAUUUCAAAUAGAAGGAAUAUCCUGGAAAAACAACUUCUCUGCUAGCAAAUAAAAGGUACAGACACAAUGAGUAUUUGGAGCUCUAAUACCUGUUUUUUACCAUUAGAUUACUCCAGUAGAUUAGACAAAGUCAGCUACUUAAAAAAAAAAAAAAAAAAAGGCAACUCUCCAUUUUCAAGACUUGUUUGCAGUUACUAUUAAUAAUUACUCUAUCAAUCAAUGUGAAAGUAACUGAGUAGAGUCAGCUGAAAUUAAUUACAUAAUUUGCCAGAUUCACCCAGGGGUCAGGGCACCAGCAGAGCACAUGCGACGCGCACUUUGACCUGCGUUUACAUUUUGACAUCCCUUGAGUCACGUAUGGUACGUCGGAGCCUGUGUUAAUGAGACUCCCCUCCUUCCCUGCAUGCCAUGUGGGACAGGAUGUAAAAGAGACUUGUAGUUAUAAAGAAAGCAUGAUGCGGCAUCAAUAAGCAAUUACAAAACAAAUUCACAUCAUUUAAUAUUUACUAAUCCAGAUUUCCUCAAUGUUCAAGUACCUGGUGGUUUUCAACAACUUCCUUGUUGAAUUAACUCUUUCAGGAAAUGACUCUAAACUAAGCAAUUCAUGAAUAAGUUCUGUUUCAAACUUGGUACCUUGGUUCUGAAAUAUACAUUUUUUGGUGUGUAUAGAUAUGGGUUUGGUUUAUUCCUAUCUGCUACUGAUGGAAGGGAAUCUGCUUUCCAAAAUUAUGCUUGGUUCUUCUAGCAUUUCUAGCUCUUUUAUGAGUUUAAAGUAAAUUCAUUAUCUUUACCUUCUGACUGGUUGAAAAUAUAAAAUAUUGGUAUGGUCUAUGAAUGUUCUGACAUAACUGAAUCUGCCUUUGAGUGACCAAAAAAAAAAAGUUCAUAAAAGUUUACAUGAUAGUAUUCACUGAAAUGGAAAAAUCAGGUUGCAAAACUGUUUGAGUGUGUGUGUGUGUGUCCAUGUUUUACAGAAGUGGCAUACUUUACAGAAGUAAUUUCCCCACCUUAACUAUUCAAGUAACUGCUCAUAUCUUAGGAUUCCCAUGGUGAAAAAUGAAUGAAUCUGUAGUUCCUAGAUUAUGAUCAUAAAAUAUUAAUGCUGGAAAGGAUCUUAGAAACUAUCCAGGUCAGUUAUUUUUACACUAUUUUUAGCAGCAGUGCCUUUUAUUUCCUCCAAACUAAAUCUUAUGUAACAAAUGCAGAAUAAGUAUUUGUUGAAUGAAACCUGAAGCGGAAGUCCAGUAUAUACAAGAGGUCAUGGGUCAAAUAAUAACUGAGGAGGGGAGGCAUUUACUGGGCCUCUACCAUCUGCCCCCCGCCCACACAACCAACCCCUUUCCCUAGUCAAAAUCUCUCCACAGGAACCUUAGAAACUCUCAAGAGCUUUGCUGGAAGUAGGACUGAUCUCAUCCAAUCUCCUCACUCUGCAGGUGGGAAGACUGACCCCCAAAUGAGUAAGUGUCUAAAGAGAGUCCCCCAGCUGGUUAAUGACAGAGCCAAAGGUGGCAGCAAGUCACCUGGCUGUGGUUCUGACGAGCGAAGUCCUCUCACCCGCUUCUGCUCAUCCUUGCCCCUCCUGGCCCCCAGUGCCACAUGAAGUUCUCUCCGCCUGCUCAGGUGGUUUCCUGUGACCCUGGACUCCACUUUCCUCAGGAGAGUUAACAGUUGCUUUAGGAGGGUUUACAGUUCCUUUCCCAGUAGGCAGAGCUAUGACGUCCAACCUUUUUCAACUUUCUCACUCUAUGUUCUCAGUUUUAGGCAGGAUGAAUGGUAUAAGCUUUCAACUGUAUAUUCACUCCCCCAAAAUGAAUGAAUGAAUAAAUGACAUAGGUCUUCAGAUUUGUUUAUGAGUGUCUGUGGGAUGUGCAAAUGGCAAAUAGUACAGAUUUUUACAAAUAUGAAUGUGGUCCCUCUUUAGAAUGGCAUUCUCAAAUGAUCUUUAAAAAAAACAAAAAUAAGAAAAGACAGGGUUUUAAUCAUUAAAGGCAAUUAAAUCUGUUUAUGGCAGGUAUCUCUGAAAGAGGCAGUGUACAUGUGACUGUCUCAAAAGCUGAGAGGUUUUAAAUUUCCAGGAUAUUCUGGUUAGUAAGUAGUUCAACACGGCUCCUUAUUAGAAGAAUAAGCUCCCUCUUGUUUCUCUUAGAAUCACGAAACCUCUCUUUAUCCUCCUCUUUGGCCCUGUUUUCGUUCUUUCUUUUUCCUUCUAAUCUAUCGCUGGGCCCAUCCGCCUUUGGAGGAGCUAAUGCCUACAGAGGCAAAACCUAGGCUCUGAGAAAACUCUGGCUCCCUCUGGCAUUUUUCUCUGAUGCAGACUAACUUCCCCCUGAGGCUGAGCUUCUGAGAAAUCCCCCAUGCUGUGGACUCCACACCAGGAAGAACCUAGAAAAGAGCAAUUAAACAACAGAGGACAUUCAGCAGACACCAGCUGCUCUCAGGCAUCCCCUCUGCUGGGGUGGGGAGAGGCCUCCAAUGGACCUGUGGGCACAAGUCAUUUGUUUUGCUACAUUUUCAAAAGUCUAACUGGCUUCCCCUCAGAAAUAACUACUCCAAGGAGUGAGUCAGUUUUAUGUUCUGAAAAGCAGUAGAGUACCCUGAUACAAACUUGCAAUACUCUCUAAGGUUCUUAAUUUACCAGCUUGUUUUAGUCCUAGAUGAAGAGAUCUGAAACCUCUGUUCUGUACCACUGUUUUUCUGCCCCAAGUUCUUAGGCAAUGCACGUUCUGUGAAAGCACAACUAAAGAAAUUAAGGAGAUGUGUAAGAGAACAGAAGGGUAAAUCUUCAAAGUCAAAGAGAAUGUGAUAAUUACCCUUUUGGAGUAAAACUGUGACACAUAAGAGAUUAGAUUUCUUCGUGUUUAAGAACUUAAAGCAGAAGUAGAGCCAAAGGGGGAAAACUGCAAAGAGAGAAGCUCAGAUCCAACCCUUCAACUUUCCACCAGGAGAAGGGGCUGCCUACGAAGCUGUGACAUUCCUAUUACGCCGAGUUCAAGUGGAAACACAAUAUACAGACGUAUCACUGAGUGGAAAGACACAGGACCAGACACGACUUCUAAGUGCUUCCCAGCUCCAAGUCAUUGCCAUUUCCAGAAAUAUCAGCAGAAGUGAUCAAUCAACCUAAAUUUGAUGGUGUCUUUGAUUUUUUUGUUUAACUGUUUCUUGUUGUUUUUAUGGUUGUUUUUCUCAGAGCCGUGAGGUUGUCCUGAGUGAAGAAUAUACAUUUCUUAUUUCCGUUCCAACUAGUCUCCUCAGAAAUAGGAAAAAACUGCUAGGCAGUGACAUCUUUAUUAACACAUCCUCCAGAACACAGCUUCUUUUAGCGUGGCCUGUCAACAUCUCUAUAAUGCCUGUCCUCACAUUUCUUCUCUCUCCACGACCGAAGCCAUAAGCAUGCUACACCACGUUUCAUUCUCUGAGAUCUAACCCAUCCUCAGAUAGAAAAUUUAAAAGGCGUUUUCAUCAGGUAUCUCCACUCUAAAUCGAAUAGGUUUUAGUAAAUGGAUUUUUUUCUGCUUUAUCCUCCCCUACCUUGUGUACCACUUUCAAAUAAGCUGGAUCCCUUAUUUCUUUUUGCCUCAGUCUGUACUUUUAUAAAAUGCCCAGAAACUCAGCAAAAAAACAUAAGACGCAGCCAUGUUCAACUAGUUGAUUUUGUCUUCUUCCAAGGUUCAGAAUUCUGUCUCUUUGCCUGCCCCUCCACCUGUGUCUUGCCAAGCCUUUCCUGCUCCCGUAGCUCCUCUGGAGUUCCAGCUGCUACCUGUUUCCAUACCAUUUGGACAAUGUGCUCCACCUACCUGGGUACAUCUCCUCUAAACUGCAGUUUUCUGGGCCAUUGGUGAAAGGACAUAAGCCAUCUCUCUGCAUUUGUCUAUAGGGGAUGCACAUAAAGAGUCUGAAAGUUGGAGGAGACCCGUGUAAGUCCUACAUGUGACAUUUACUAAAUGGGUGAUUUGGGAAAACAUUGCUUAAGUUCUCUGAGCUUCGGUUUCCUCAUAAAUAAAAUAAGAUCAUGUCUAUUUCUAAAGGCAGUUGGUUCAAAAGAAGUGAGACUAAUAGGAGAAGGGGUUUCAUAAAAAGAAAAACAUAUCGAAUUGCAAGAUAUUUUGAUUUUUACUUUUAACACAAUCCUCAGGAUCCUUCUUUUCUGGUACAAAGCCCCUUAAGUUCUGAGAGAUUUCUCACAUAGUGGCUUUAUAUUUAUAAAAUAAAAAUUGGUAAUUGAAUUGUAAGCAAAGAAUCCAAACUUGACAUCCAAUUGUUAAAAUUAUCAGUUUAAUUCUCCUAGAGCUUCCUUAAAUAUUUCAUGAGUUGGGUAAUAUUAAAAUCUACUAAACAGAUCAUGUUCACAAAAGAGAACGGUGUGUCAGUCAUCACUGUGAUUAGCAAUACUUUGGCUAGAAAUAAACCACAUGCACCCUCCAGGUCCAAGGACUCCCCUUCACAGGAGUCCAGAAAAUGCUAGCAGCAUUAUCGUCAUCUUAUGGGACAGGGAUUUCAGAUAACUUGUGGUACAGUGUGGUGGUGAAGCUUCCAAGCUCUGAAAUCAGACUGUGCAAGUAGAAACCCCACACUGCAUGACCCUGAGCAAGUUCCUUACUGUAUUUAAAUCUCACUGUCCUCGCUUAUAAAGUAGGCAGAAUAACAGCACCUAGUCCGGGGAGUUAUUGUGAUACUCAAAGACAGUAAUGUAUGUGACCUGCCACUAAGGCCAGGUUCCAUAAACGUUUGCUAUUACUAUUACAUGAGUUUUACUGACACCUAAAUACUUGCUCUAAUAAGUUAAAAUGGGAGCAGGUCUUUUCUCAUUGGUAUCCCAAAACCUUCUAAAUACUUCUUUCCACCUGAGUUCUUGGUUGGUUUUAUUUUGAUCCUCUUUUCAAUGCCAAUAUGGGGACCCUAAAAGAGGAUUAGAGAGGCUCAUAAAGCUUCCUUUAUUUACCACUAACCCUGACACAGAAGUCUCCAUCAAACCCCACAUCAAAUAAGCAUCCUUUAUGUUGGCAUUUUUCUCUCUGCCUUCUUCUUGCCAAACAGGUAACUUGUUACAGUUGAGAUCAUACAACUAACUCUACAGCAGAUAAGGCCAUGGCUCUUUUCAGUAAUUCUUACAGGAAGACAAUUGAAAGUACAAACAAGACUAGAGUCUACUUUUAUUGAGCUGGCACUUCAGGAAGAAUGCUAAGUGAAUAUCAAACCCUGUUCACCUUUUCUGCAUCCCUCAUUCCAGGAAGCAACUGACACCUGCCCUGACAUGAUAAGCUCCUCACUAGUUAGCCAAACACCUGGCAAGUGAACAUCAAUAUUAGUGCUGCCAGGUUUAAUAAUCAGUGUUUGCACUGGUGGUAAAGAUAUUUUAAUACUCUAAUUGGGUGGCCCUUGUUCCUUUAUAUGAAAGCUAAAUGUAUUCUAGUGACAAGUCUUCAUUUUCUGACAUAUUUGAGAUUUGUGUCCAAUGUUACAGGAAGCUUUGUUGAAACUAUAGGACUUAUAUCAAGAUAUAUUAGUUCCAUACUGUUACUCAGCCUAAACUUUUGAUUAUAUCAUUGAAACUACACUGCUAAGCUGUUUUCCAUCUCUAUUCUAUAGAUAAUCUCUUUACACUUUUUCUUCUUUAAUUCGAAAAGGAGAACACGAAAAAUCUUUAAUAGCAUAUCCGACUCUAAAAAUAUGUAAUUCUAAGUAUGACUUUCUAUCCUAACUAGAGAGUCAGGCAUAAAUGCUAGAAAGAAGGAAUGAAUAGAAAUGUGACAGAAAGAAUGAUAAUGAAUCUCACAUCCCAGAAAUAAAAGGCAGCAAACGACACUUCUGUGAACUAUCUGAAAAAGGAGACUGCAAGACAGGCUUGGCACCUUUUGCUUUUCAUUAUAGAUCAAGGACAAGGACUGUGACAUCUUUAUGAGUUUUGUGAGUUUAUAAUUUAUAGUUUCCCCAUGAUUGUUGUUGGAAUGCCUAUAAGCACUGUAGCAAUUAUCUCUAAAGCCCUUGAAAAGAAAAAGAACUGUGUGUUGGUUGAUGGUAUGCAGUGAGCCGGGCCUGGGAGAGAAUAAGUGGGAGGUUAUAUCUGUUUUGCUACAAAUUCUGAGGCAGAAAUCCUAUAGACAAUGGAAGAUAGCAAUGGAAGAUCUGUGAGGAGAAAAAUCACCCUGGCUUAGCCCUAAGAAUCUGCUUCCUACCAGGCAAAGCAUUCCAGUCUAAAGGCAAACAGACUGGCCCACUAACACCGGGCACUGUGCAAGAUUGUUCUCCAUUGGCCUUCAUUCACCUCCCUGCCCCUAUCCCCAUCUCAGCCCUUCUCACAUCCUUGCUUGGCCUAGCUCCUUCAGCCUGAUUCAUUAAAUACCCUCUUUUCUGGACAAUAUUUGUUUUCCCAUAUCCUGAUCACAUAAGAAAUACCAUCUUAUCUGCUGAUUCCCUGGAAACCAUACAAGGGAAGACAGAGAAAGGCUGAAGAAUUUCAGAUCCCAGCUGUAGAAGUAAGCCAGAGCUUAGCUAGAAGGAGGCCCAUUGAUUUAUCUGAUAUUUCCACAGGGAAAAGAAACUCAAUUGCAAACUGGAUGGUUUGUCUGUGAAACAUCUGUUAGGCAGCUUUUUCAAUAUCCAUAUGGUUGACCUUUAAAAACAAUUAUCUGGACAUUCACCAUCACAUUGAUGUAGCCAGAGCACUGGAAUUAAAAGCAAGACUCCAUGCUAUGCAGUGCAAGAAGGAGGCCCCUGCACUUGGGAUGUGGCUGGUCCAAACUGUGGUGUUCCAUGAGUGUAAAAUGUACCCUCACUUUCACAGAGUGAACAAAAAAGGGAAGAAAACAAUAUAAAGUAUCUCAGGAAUAAUUUUUGUAUUGAUCACAUGUUGCAAUGAUGGUAUUUUAGAUAUACCGGGUUAAAUAAAAUACAUUAUUAAAAUUAA
This is a non-coding RNA of Sus scrofa (pig), 7725 nucleotides long. Lineage: Eukaryota; Metazoa; Chordata; Mammalia; Artiodactyla; Suidae. The record is from RefSeq and is a predicted model, not a curated record.